Molecule: transfer RNA, 72 nt
Filed under: Bos taurus (domestic cattle)
Lineage: Eukaryota; Metazoa; Chordata; Mammalia; Artiodactyla; Bovidae
Also listed under: 2 other names
Rfam family: tRNA
About the family: Transfer RNA (tRNA) molecules are approximately 80 nucleotides in length. Their secondary structure includes four short double-helical elements and three loops (D, anti-codon, and T loops).
Source: Rfam by way of RNAcentral
UCCCUGGUGGUUCAGGGGUUAAGAUGCUGCACUUCCAGUGCAGGAGCACAGGUUCGAUCCCUGGUUGGGGAA